RNAcentral lists this ribosomal RNA (419 nucleotides) under bacterium. Its description in RNAcentral is "partial 16S ribosomal RNA". It matches the Rfam family "Bacterial small subunit ribosomal RNA", at positions 355 to 776 of the family's 1533-position model. The record is from RNAcentral.
UGGGGGAUAUUGCACAAUGGGCGAAAGCCUGAUGCAGCGACGCCGCGUGGGGGAUGAAGGCCUUCGGGUUGUAAACUUCUUUUGCUCUGAACAAGGCAUGCUAAUGGGUGUGUUGAGUGUAGGGGUUGAUUAGCGCCGGCUAACUACGUGCCAGCAGCCGCGGUAAUACGUAGGGCGCGAGCGUUGUCCGGAAUUAUUGGGCGUAAAGGGCUUGUAGGUGGCUGGUUGCGUCUGUCGUGAAAGCUCAUGGCUUAACUGUGGGUGUGCGGUGGGUACGGGCUGGCUUGAGUGCAGUAGGGAGGGCUGGAAUUCCUGGUGUAGCGGUGGAAUGCGCAGAUAUCAGGAGGAAGACAGGUGGCGAAGGCGGGUCUCUGGGCUGUUACUGACACUGAGGAGCGAAAGCAUGGGGAGCGAACAGG